Molecule: non-coding RNA, 21 nt
Filed under: Caenorhabditis elegans
Lineage: Eukaryota; Metazoa; Nematoda; Chromadorea; Rhabditida; Rhabditidae
Source: RNAcentral
UGGUUUUCUAAAAACUCAAAA